Non-coding RNA from Clostridium sp. BL8, 85 nucleotides. Lineage: Bacteria; Bacillati; Bacillota; Clostridia; Eubacteriales; Clostridiaceae. The record is from Rfam.
GAACGCCGUAUGCGGUGAAAGUCGCUUGUACGGUGUGGAGGAGGGGAAAAGAAGGAGAUAAUAUCAAGUUCUUACCUAUUCCUAU